CGCGAACGUUGGCGGCGUGCCUAACACAUGCAAGUCGUGGGGCAGCAGGCUACUGUCUUUUGGCAGUAGUGCUGGCGACCGGCAAACGGGUGAGUAACACGUAGCUUACCUACCCAUAGGUUGGGGAUAACAUCCCGAAAGGGGUGCUAAUACCCAAUAAUGAGGAGACUCCAAAGCCCUUAUGGGCGCCUAUGGAUGGGGCUGCGUCCCAUCAGCUAGUUGGUGAGGUAAUGGCUCACCAAGGCUACGACGGGUAACCGGUCUGAGAGGAUGACCGGUCACAGCGGGACUGAGACACGGCCCGCACCCCUACGGGGGGCAGCAGUGGGGAAUAUUGGGCAAUGGCCGAAAGGCUGACCCAGCGACGCCGCGUGGUGGAUGAAGCCCUUCGGGGUGUAAACACCUUUUCUGGGGGAAGAUAAUGACGGUACCCCAGGAAUAAGGGACGGCUAACUACGUGCCAGCAGCCGCGGUAAUACGUAGGUCCCGAACGUUGCGCGAAUUUACUGGGCGUAAAGGG
Molecule: ribosomal RNA, 520 nt
Filed under: uncultured Sulfurihydrogenibium sp.
Lineage: Bacteria; Pseudomonadati; Aquificota; Aquificia; Aquificales; Hydrogenothermaceae
Description: bacterial SSU rRNA
Rfam family: Bacterial small subunit ribosomal RNA
Source: RNAcentral